This 303-nucleotide ribosomal RNA is filed under the name uncultured bacterium. RNAcentral's name for it is "partial 16S ribosomal RNA". It matches the Rfam family "Bacterial small subunit ribosomal RNA", at positions 507 to 807 of the family's 1533-position model. The record is from RNAcentral.
AGCAGUCGCCACGGUAAUACGUAGGGUGCGAGCGUUAAUCGGAAUUACUGGGCGUAAAGCGUGCGCAGGCGGUUGUGUAAGACAGGUGUGAAAUCCCCGGGCUUAACCUGGGAACUGCGCUUGUGACUGCACAGCUAGAGUAUGGCAGAGGGGGGUGGAACUCCACGUGUAGCAGUGAAAUGCGUAGAGAUGUGGAGGAACACCGAUGGCGAAGGCAGCCCCCUGGGCCAAUACUGACGCUCAUGCACGAAAGCGUGGGGAGCAAACAGGACUAGAUACCCGCGUAGUCCCUGUCUCUUAUAC